CCUACGGGAGACAGCAGUGAGGAAUAUUGGUCAAUGGACGAGAGUCUGAACCAGCCAAGUAGCGUGAAGGAUGACUGCCCUAUGGGUUGUAAACUUCUUUUAUAUGGGAAUAAAAUGUUCCACGUGUGGGAUUUUGUAUGUACCAUAUGAAUAAGGAUCGGCUAACUCCGUGCCAGCAGCCGCGGUAAUACGGAGGAUCCGAGCGUUAUCCGGAUUUAUUGGGUUUAAAGGGAGCGUAGGUGGAUUGUUAAGUCAGUUGUGAAAGUUUGCGGCUCAACCGUAAAAUUGCAGUUGAAACUGGCAGUCUUGAGUACAGUAGAGGUGGGCGGAAUUCAUGGUGUAGCGGUGAAAUGCUUAGAUAUCACGAAGAACUCCGAUUGCGAAGGCAGUUCACUGGACUGCAACUGACACUGAGGCUCGAAAGUGUGGGUAUCAAACAGGAUUAGAUACCCUUGUAGUC
This 460-nucleotide ribosomal RNA is filed under the name uncultured bacterium. RNAcentral describes it as "partial 16S ribosomal RNA". It matches the Rfam family "Bacterial small subunit ribosomal RNA", at positions 338 to 795 of the family's 1533-position model. The record is from RNAcentral.